RNAcentral lists this long non-coding RNA (211 nucleotides) under Olea europaea (common olive). RNAcentral describes it as "long non-coding RNA (OEUR_LNC012465)". The record is from RNAcentral. Lineage: Eukaryota; Viridiplantae; Streptophyta; Magnoliopsida; Lamiales; Oleaceae.
UACCUUUGUUUGCCUGCGACGCAACCAACUUACUUUUGUUUUCAAUUUGCGCUUUUACCUUUUCAUGGAGUGACUUAAUCAAUUCCGCCUUCUUUUUGCCAUCUAAACUACCACGUUCAUUCACAGGUAAAGGAAUUAAAUCCAAAGGAGUUAGUGGAUUAAAACCAUAUACAAUUUCAAAUGGAGAAUAUGAUGUAGUAGAGUGAACAGC